UAACACUAACUGGAGGACCGAACCGACUAAUGUUGAAAAAUUAGCGGAUGACUUGUGGCUGGGGGUGAAAGGCCAAUCAAACCGGGAGAUAGCUGGUUCUCCCCGAAAGCUAUUUAGGUAGCGCCUCGUGAAUUCAUCUCCGGGGGUAGAGCACUGUUUCGGCAAGGGGGUCAUCCCGACUUACCAACCCGAUGCAAACUGCGAAUACCGGAGAAUGUUAUCACGGGAGACACACGGCGGGUGCUAACGUCCGUCGUGAAGAGGGAAACAACCCAGACCGCCAGCUAAGGUCCCAAAGUCAUGGUUAAGUGGGAAACGAUGUGGGAAGGCCCAGACAGCCAGGAUGUUGGCUUAGAAGCAGCCAUCAUUUAAAGAAAGCGUAAUAGCUCACUGGUCGAGUCGGCCUGCGCGGAAGAUGUAACGGGGCUAAACCAUGCACCGAAGCUGCGGCAGCGACGCUUAUGCGUUGUUGGGUAGGGGAGCGUUCUGUAAGCCUGUGAAGGUGGCCUGUGAGGGUUGCUGGAGGUAUCAGAAGUGCGAAUGCUGACAUAAGUAACGAUAAAGCGGGUGAAAAGCCCGCUCGCCGGAAGACCAAGGGUUCCUGUCCAACGUUAAUCGGGGCAGGGUGAGUCGACCCCUAAGGCGAGGCCGAAAGGCGUAGUCGAUGGGAAACAGGUUAAUAUUCCUGUACUUGGUGUUACUGCGAAGGGGGGACGGAGAAGGCUAUGUUGGCCGGGCGACGGUUGUCCCGGUUUAAGCGUGUAGGCUGGUUUUCCAGGCAAAUCCGGAAAAUCAAGGCUGAGGCGUGAUGACGAGGCACUACGGUGCUGAAGCGACAAAUGCCCUGCUUCCAGGAAAAGCCUCUAAGCAUCAGGUAACAUUAAAUCGUACCCCAAACCGACACAGGUGGUCAGGUAGAGAAUACCAAGGCGCUUGAGAGAACUCGGGUGAAGGAACUAGGCAAAAUGGUGCCGUAACUUCGGGAGAAGGCACGCUGAUAUGUAGGUGAAGCGACUUGCUCGUGGAGCUGAAAUCAGUCGAAGAUACCAGCUGGCUGCAACUGUUUAUUAAAAACACAGCACUGUGCAAACACGAAAGUGGACGUAUACGGUGUGACGCCUGCCCGGUGCCGGAAGGUUAAUUGAUGGGGUUAGCGGUAACGCGAAGCUCUUGAUCGAAGCCCCGGUAAACGGCGGCCGUAACUAUAACGGUCCUAAGGUAGCGAAAUUCCUUGUCGGGUAAGUUCCGACCUGCACGAAUGGCGUAAUGAUGGCCAGGCUGUCUCCACCCGAGACUCAGUGAAAUUGAACUCGCUGUGAAGAUGCAGUGUACCCGCGGCAAGACGGAAAGACCCCGUGAACCUUUACUAUAGCUUGACACUGAACAUUGAGCCUUGAUGUGUAGGAUAGGUGGGAGGCUUUGAAGUGUGGACGCCAGUCUGCAUGGAGCCGACCUUGAAAUACCACCCUUUAAUGUUUGAUGUUCUAACGUGGGCCCCUUACCGGGGUUGCGGACAGUGUCUGGUGGGUAGUUUGACUGGGGCGGUCUCCUCCUAAAGAGUAACGGAGGAGCACGAAGGUUGGCUAAUCCUGGUCGGACAUCAGGAGGUUAGUGCAAUGGCAUAAGCCAGCUUGACUGCGAGCGUGACGGCGCGAGCAGGUGCGAAAGCAGGUCAUAGUGAUCCGGUGGUUCUGAAUGGAAGGGCCAUCGCUCAACGGAUAAAAGGUACUCCGGGGAUAACAGGCUGAUACCGCCCAAGAGUUCAUAUCGACGGCGGUGUUUGGCACCUCGAUGUCGGCUCAUCACAUCCUGGGGCUGAAGUAGGUCCCAAGGGUAUGGCUGUUCGCCAUUUAAAGUGGUACGCGAGCUGGGUUUAGAACGUCGUGAGACAGUUCGGUCCCUAUCUGCCGUGGGCGCUGGAGAACUGAGGGGGGCUGCUCCUAGUACGAGAGGACCGGAGUGGACGCAUCACUGGUGUUCGGGUUGUCAUGCCAAUGGCACUGCCCGGUAGCUAAAUGCGGAAGAGAUAAGUGCUGAAAGCAUCUAAGCACGAAACUUGCCCCGAGAUGAGUUCUCCCUGACUCCUUGAGAGUCCUGAAGGAACGUUGAAGACGACGACGUUGAUAGGCCGGGUGUGUAAGCGCAGCGAUGCGUUGAGCUAAUCGGUACUAAUGAACCGUGAGGCUUAACCUUACAACGCCGAAG
RNAcentral lists this ribosomal RNA (2205 nucleotides) under Escherichia coli. RNAcentral describes it as "partial 23S ribosomal RNA". It matches the Rfam family "Bacterial large subunit ribosomal RNA", at positions 757 to 2925 of the family's 2925-position model. The record is from RNAcentral. Lineage: Bacteria; Pseudomonadati; Pseudomonadota; Gammaproteobacteria; Enterobacterales; Enterobacteriaceae.